GAUGAACGCUGGCGGCGUGCUUAACACAUGCAAGUCGAACGAAGCAACUUAUCACGAUUCCUUCGGGAUGACGAUUUGUUGACUGAGUGGCGGACGGGUGAGUAACGCGUGGGUAACCUGCCUUAUACAGGGGGAUAGCAGCUGGAAACGGCUGAUAAUACCGCAUAAGCGCACAGUAUCGCAUGAUACAGUGUGAAAAACUCCGGUGGUAUAAGAUGGACCCGCGUCUGAUUAGCUAGUUGGUGGGGCAACGGCCUACCAAGGCGACGAUCAGUAGCCGACCUGAGAGGGUGACCGGCCACAUUGGGACUGAGACACGGCCCAGACUCCUACGGGAGGCAGCAGUGGGGAAUAUUGCACAAUGGAGGAAACUCUGAUGCAGCGACGCCGCGUGAGCGAAGAAGUAUUUCGGUAUGUAAAGCUCUAUCAGCAGGGAAGAUAAUGACGUAC
This 450-nucleotide ribosomal RNA is filed under the name bacterium LE2004. Its description in RNAcentral is "bacterial SSU rRNA". It matches the Rfam family "Bacterial small subunit ribosomal RNA", at positions 28 to 459 of the family's 1533-position model. The record is from RNAcentral.